CGCAAUGGGCGAAAGCCUGACGGAGCGACGCCGCGUGUAGGAAGAAGCCCUUCGGGGUGUAAACUACUUUUUUUUGGGACGAAUUUUGACGGUACCAAGAGAAUAAGCCACUGCUAACCUCGUGCCAGCAGCCGCGGUAAGACGAGGGUGGCAAACGUUAUCCGGAUUUAUUGGGUGUAAAGCGUCUCUAGGCUGCUUAGCAAGUUUCUGGUUAAAUCUUUGGGCCUAACCCAAAAACCGCUGGAAAAACUACUAAGCUAGAGACUGGGAGAGGCAAGCGGAAUGGCCGGUGUAGUAGUAAAAUGCGUUGAUAUCGGCCAGAACACCAAUAGCGUAGGCAGCUUGCUAGAACAGUUCUGACGCUUUUCAGACGAAAGCGUGG
RNAcentral lists this ribosomal RNA (382 nucleotides) under uncultured organism. Its description in RNAcentral is "bacterial SSU rRNA". It matches the Rfam family "Bacterial small subunit ribosomal RNA", at positions 367 to 764 of the family's 1533-position model. The record is from RNAcentral.